GCGAGAGAGGGCCUGGGCAGGCAGUGGGUCGCUGCUGGCCUCUGUCCUACUCUCACAUGUGCAGGUCCUGAACCUUUCUCAGGCGCGGAACCCAAGUACUCUCUGGGUCAGGAUCUCGGACACAGCAGUGCCCAAAGGUGUUGGGUAUUUUGUCUCAGCAACGAGAAAAGUAACUAAGACACCCAGGCUGGCCACAAAUUCUUGGUCCUCCUGCCUCACACUCCUAUGUAGUUGGGAUUACAGGAUACGGUGACAUAAGCAGCCAUCCUGGAUGGGGAGUCACACACCUUCUCCACCCGCUGAGGACCAUCUUCUCCAUUUACCUCUGGAAUACCACUUCAUUUGAAGAGGACAGAUCUAUUUGUGGGGGUCAGAAGACUCUGGAAGC
Molecule: long non-coding RNA, 388 nt
Filed under: Heterocephalus glaber (naked mole-rat)
Lineage: Eukaryota; Metazoa; Chordata; Mammalia; Rodentia; Bathyergidae
Description: lncRNA (ENSHGLG00100041778.1)
Source: RNAcentral